RNAcentral lists this ribosomal RNA (424 nucleotides) under uncultured bacterium. RNAcentral's name for it is "bacterial SSU rRNA". It matches the Rfam family "Bacterial small subunit ribosomal RNA", at positions 355 to 776 of the family's 1533-position model. The record is from RNAcentral.
UGGGGAAUUUUGGACAAUGGGGGCAACCCUGAUCCAGCAACGCCGCGUGAGGGAUGAAGGUCUUCGGAUUGUAAACCUCUUUUAUAGGGGAAGAACUAUGCCAUGAAUAAUGGUAAAUGACGGUACCCUGUGAAUAAGCCACGGCUAACUUCGUGCCAGCAGCCGCGGUAAUACGAAGGUGGCAAGCGUUACUCGGAAUUACUAGGCGUAAAGCGCAGGUAGGUGGUCGGAUAAGUCUGUAAUGAAAUCUCCCGGCUUAACUGGGAGGGGUUUAUGGAUACUGUCUGGCUUGAGUGUGGGAGAGGUCACUGGAAUUCCUGGUGUAGCGGUGAAAUGCGUAGAGAUCAGGAGGAACACCUAUGGCGAAAGCAGGUGACUGGCCCAAUACUGACACUGAGCUGCGAAAGCUAGGGGAGCAAACAGG